AGGGUUUGAUUAUGGCUCAGGAUGAACGCUGGCGGCGUGCAUAACACAUUCAAGUCGAACGGAAGUAGCAAUACUUCAGUGGCGGACGGGUGAGUAACGCGUGAGCAACCUGCCCUUACGAGGGGGAUAACAUCGGGAAACUGAUGCUAAUACCGCAUAACACAUACUUGUCGCAUGGGGAGUAUGUCAAAGAUUUAUUGCGUAAGGAUGGGCUCGCGUCCGAUUAGAUAGUUGGAGAGGUAACGGCUCCCCAAGUCGACGAUCGGUAGCCGGACUGAGAGGUUGAACGGCCACAUUGGAACUGAGAAACGGUCCAG
This 317-nucleotide ribosomal RNA is filed under the name uncultured bacterium. RNAcentral's name for it is "bacterial SSU rRNA". It matches the Rfam family "Bacterial small subunit ribosomal RNA", at positions 8 to 334 of the family's 1533-position model. The record is from RNAcentral.